RNAcentral lists this long non-coding RNA (12592 nucleotides) under Phoenix dactylifera (date palm). RNAcentral's name for it is "long non-coding RNA (PDAC_LNC002528)". Lineage: Eukaryota; Viridiplantae; Streptophyta; Magnoliopsida; Arecales; Arecaceae. The record is from RNAcentral.
AAAAAAAAAACAAAAAACUAGACAUUAGCUUCUCUUCUUUUUUUUUUGCUUAAAAAAAAAGAAAAGGGUGGAGGAAGGGACAAGCCCAACCCCCGCGUAAUAGCCCCCAUUGGUCCCUAUCCCGCCAGGAGAAUAUUCGAUGCGGGCAGAAAUGAUCAUGUGUUGGGCACCCCGGCCGGUUUUACUCAUACCCUUUCCACUCGUGGGCCCGGCUCGAUUAUCUUUUUGGGCUCCGGCACGAAACCACAUGUGAGUACGUCACACCUGACACCACCAAGGCUAUCAGCAGAGCAUACGCCCUUUCAAGGGCCGUGUUCGAGCAAGGAGCAUCCGGUCUCCACAAUUUAAUCGACGUCCGUGCAUUUCGAACUUGGAACCACUUGAUUGGAAGUAAGGUCACGCUCCCACUGGGCUACCACCUUAUUGGUAUUAGCUUCUUAUUUUUUUCUUUGUUUUUUUCCAAAGUACUUAGUAUAUCUAAAUAUCUCAGAACCCAAUCGUGCAAUCUUUUCGUAGACACAUGGGUCCUGAUUGUUUAAAGAUAAUGACCACUGUAAGAUCAUAAUAAUGGAUGAUAUAGCACUUUAGAAAGCCUCUUUUUAUAUGUAACAUACAAAGGGAUAAUGAAUACUCAAAUGAUGAACAUUAUUUAAUUUAUUAUGCUCUAUUAGCCAUUAUACAAUGGGAGUGAUGGUGUUCUUUUUUUCACUAUAUAUAAAAUAAUUAAUUAAUUUUAAGAAAAAUUGAUUCAGAAAGUCGAGCAAAGUUUUUGAAAUUUAUAUUCGAUAUAAUUACAAUUGAUCCAAAUAAUCAAACAACAACUAGAAAUAGAUCUAUUGGAAUAAACCAGUAAAAAGGUUCUAGAUGGUCAUAUAAAUUGGAGAAUAGGAGGAAGAAAAUGAGAAAAAAUCGAUGGAAGAUCAUGAAAUUCGUUCAAAAAAAGCCAAACAUGUGGUAAUUUAUACUGAUAAUGAGAAUAAUACAAAUUCUAUUACAUAGAGGGAGAGAGAAGCGGUAAUCAAAAUAAUAUAUAUAAUGUUUGAAUAGUGGUUUUCCCAAAAUAAAGCCAUUAUUUUGCUACUUUUUUAUUCACUAACAGCAAUUGUUGUUAUUAAUUAUUACCUUAUUUUAAACUACCUAGUCAAAAAGAGGAAUUAGGCAAAUAAGGUGGUAUCUCCAUUAAAAGUAUUUGUAUAUCUAUUAUACCAUGAAACCAAAACUCCACGUAUUAUCGCCAUCUAUUUAUUGGUUUACAUGUUUCCACAUUGCUACAAUUACUUCUAUAUUAAAUAAGUUUACCUCCAAAAAUUAGAAGCAUAUAUAUUGAAUUAUAUAAAUAAAAAAUUAAUAUAUUAGUCUCUUAUGUGCAUCGCAACUGCUAAGAAUGUCAUGAAAAUAAUCACAUACAUAGCAUGGGCUAAGAUCAAGUGUAUGUGGUACUAAAAAUGUGGCAUUUGGGUGUUAGAACAAGAGGCCAAUCCUCUUAAAAUGUUUUUUUUUCUUCCCAAAAUUUACCUAACUCUUGUUUGGAAAAUGUUGUGGGUGGGCCUUGAGAAAACAAAAUCCUCCUUGAUUUAUGGGUUCUUGCACAUAUUAGAUGCGAGGGCUACUUAAAAAAGAGUCAUGAAAUACUUAUCCAUUGUUCCAUUUAAUCCACUUGACGUGUUGACAUGAAAGCCAACUUGGUUCUGCCAAAUCAUCAAAUAUGAAAGGGGCUCUUAAAUCACAUAGUCCCACUUCAUUGAUGAACAAUUAAUGCAAAACGCCAAAGCAACUAUCAUGUAAACGGACAAUAGAGCGUGAGAAAAACUUUGAAAACCAAUUCAAUCAUAAUAAAAUUGCAAGUACAUAUCCAUAUUAGCUCAUGCUGCCUGAAGCAAACCACAACAUCUCGAUUGUGUUCUUUUGAGAAAUCAAUAAGAUACAUUAUUCUUUCCAAAAUUAUCACUUUAUGAUUGUUGAAAAAAAUUAGUUGGAAGAUAUUAUUUGAAUUUUUUGAUCCUAUAUAAAUAUUCAAAAUUUACAUAGCACAUAACACAUAGUCGAUGUGGACUAAAAAUAUGUCUGCACGGAUUCUUAUAUAUUCUUUGCGUUUAAGCUUUAGAGUCCUCAUCAAACUAAGGAUUGAAAGUCAUUUAAAUCUAAUCAUAAGCAACAUAGUCGACUUUUGGCCAAUCCCAAUAUAUUUAUACUGUAGUGUUCUCUAGUCCACAUAGAUAUAAGAUAGAUUCGUUUAAUACUAUUGUCACACCCCAAGAUCUUAUCUAAAAAAAACUAGUCGAAAGGUAUUAUUUAUGCUCUUCGGUUCUGCACAAGUACUUAAGAUUCAUCCAGUGCAUUACCGAUAUAAGAUUAAAUAUAUAUAUAUAUAUAUAUAUAUAUCUAUAUCUAUACGAAACCUCAUAAUAUUAAAAUAUCAAAUUUGAAAAUUAUAGAUAUUAUUUCUCAAAAAAUGAGGCUUUUCACUUCUCACUUCAUUAGCCAAAAAAAAAAAAAAAAUCUUGUAGUCUUUAGCACUUCCUUCAUCAAAAGCAAUGUAAAACCUAAAUCCAAGCAAUAACCUUCCGAAGAGAGAGCAAGGGUCCCAUCACACCUGCUCAAUAGUGCACAUGUCGCCAUCAUGUUUGGUGCUCGUCUGCGGUAUACUGUUCAGCACUAUCUUCUUUAUAAUUACUUUCCUACUAUUAUUACUAUUAUUACUAUUAUUAUUAUUAUUAUUAUUAUUAUUAUUAUUAUUUUUAGUCAAUUAAUUAAAAUUUUAUAUAUAAUAGGCUAUUUUCUUUGCCAAACAUAGCCGUUCGAGUAUUACUAUAUAUAAUUAGCAAAACUUAAUUCUUAUGUUUGCUGUUGAUCAUGAUUGGCAAACUUGAUACUCAACCUUGCUUCCUAAACUUUAGAGGAUUCAAUAAAUAUCGAAGUUGGUCACGUCGACCUAAGAUUUUUAUGCAAAAAAAUUAGCUAUGUUUACGGUUAAAUCUUAUAGGAAAUGCUAUCUAAGACUCCAAUCUUGAUCUUAUAAUUUUCUAUGAUUUGAAAACUUGAUGCUCGUGUUAUCUAAUAUAGCAGCUUCAUACCUAUAAUUUUUUCUUUUUCUCUUAAUUUGUCCCGAAACUCUCCUCCAAUAUAAUCUUAGAGAGCCAAUCUUUGACUUGUGGAGUUCUUGAUUUUUCAUUAACAUUUAGGCGACCAACCACUUGCUAACUAACGUAAACUUCAUUGGAAGGAAUAAAAUUAUAAAUAAUAAAUUAAAUAAAAACACAGACGCAAGUGGCUUAGCACUACACGCUAGAGACCUAAGUGGGGUGUUAAAUGUUGCACUCAAAAUCGUUUGUGCACGGAAGCUGAGCCAUCCAGUUGACAGCUGACCCUUCUAUUUUUUUUUUUUUCCUUUUUGGUACAGUAGCUCAAACAAGGGAUAUGCGAAUACGGCUAAUAAAAUCAGAAAAUAAAAUACUAUAUAAAAAAUCUGACAUCGGUCCAUAGUCUGCCUAGACGAAGCCUCUAGAAUAGUAAGCCGUAAAGAAAGCUACCCAGUCUACUGCAUUGUUCAUCUUUCGAUAUACGUGCAUAGCCUAAUGGAAUGUGCACUCUCUCAAUAAUUUACAAAUAUCGUGUAGCAGCCGUCGAUCCUUGACUAAAGCGGUCUUGAUUCCGGAUUUACUCGAUCACCGUGGCCGAGUCUCUCUCGAGGAGUCUCGGUCUGCGUCCAGUAUCCACCUUGCAAAGGAGAUACCUUUUCAGACAGCUCGAAGCUCGAUGCACACUACUGACGAGUCGAAGAUCUACCGCCCGUAUGCCGCUACGGAUCUUUUCUCCAUUUCUUUUUUUUUAAUUACCAUUUGGAGAGAUACCUUGGGCCACACGUCCAUCAAGCCGAUGGCUUGUAAGCAAACUCCUUACAACCUGUCCGGAUUCCAAAACCACCAGCACUAACGGACCCGUUAAUUAACCCCAGUCCAAGCGAAAGAUUAGCUGGCAAACUGUACGUUUCAUGCAAGCGACCCCGCCACCGCCGUUUGUCGGAAGAGACCCCUAACGGCCGUUCACCCUUACUCGGCGCCCCCGGUCAUCCUGCGCCUAAGUCACCGCCCCCGCACUUAUUACCCGACCCCACCUUGCACUCUGCCAAGCCCAACACACAACAACCGAGCAAGGUCUCCAUGCCAUAUGGCAUGCAGUAAUUGGUUGAAUUCUAGUAAGGAGCAAAUGGGAACAUGACGCGUUGCAGGUGUGGCGCUUUGGUAUCCUUAGUUGGGCUCCGAAGGAAAGGAGCCACGAGAUUCAAGUGGCUCACCAACCCGCGUCGUGGUAGGAAUCUGGCUUUCGUCUCAUAAAAAAAAAAAAUCGGAUAAGGUGACAACGCCCACGUGGAUUGCUACGUCACCGAUAAAAUCUUAACAAAAGCUUACAACAUCAUGAGUCCAAUACCACCUUCUGAUCAGCAUCAAACGGCCCGGACGCUUCCGUACGCAACUGAAGCUAUGGACUCGGUGGUCCACCGAUCGCAGCCGACCAAUAUGGAGAUCUCAUCGUGAAUGCCACCCUAGCGAUCGCACAACGUUCGCUGGACUUGUCCAUCAAAUCGUAGAAAAGAACGUUCAAAUCAUAGCCGCUGGGGUCCAUCGAUUGCGUGGUCCAGAUCGACAUUUGGUGGCGGAGGCAUGUGAAUCCAUAAAUCCAGCAGCUCCAACGUGGUCCUCAGGACCCCAUGCGGACAGUUGCAUAAUUCUACCUAUAAUCUUUUCCUUUAUAUAUUAUAUAUAUGUAUAUAUUUUUUAUAAAAAAAUCUUGCUUUAGAUACGAAUAAAAAUAAUAAGUUAAUUUAGAAAAGCGUUAGAAUCCGUUAAAGAUUUUUCUUUAAAUCUUUCGGCCGGCGAAGAGCCAACGCAACUUCUCUCUCUAUUUAGCGGCGGUUGGAGGACUCCGGGUGGUACUGUUCGUGUGCUUGCUUGGUUUGGUGGAGUCGGAGCGAGCUCUAGCUGUCGGUGUUUGGUUUAGUUGGUGGUGUUAAAGGAGGAGGGAUGGCGAAAGAGGAGUCGAAGAAGGUGGCGGUAGAGGGCUCGUCAGUGACCGCUCCGCCGCCGGAACCCACCAAGGACGUUGCUGAGGAGAAGGUGGUGAUCCCGCCGCCGUCGGAGGAGAAGCCUGACGAUUCCAAGGCUCUGGCCGUCGUCGAGAGUAUGACUUCUCCUCUCUGUGUGUGCGCGCGCGCGCGUUUGCAUGUGGUUUUUGAGUGAAGCUUUAGUUUUGGAAAAUUCUGUGAAUUUUGGUGAAAUUUCUACUUUUUUUUUUGUUGUUGUUGUGUUAGAGAAACGUUGUUUUAAAUUAUUCGUCGGGUGACAGUCUGAAGAAGCUGUUUGCUCCGCUUUCUGAUAAUUUGUCCUUUUUUUUUUCAUGGGGAUAAUGUUAGUUGAGGCCUGGAAUUAAAUUUUCUUUUUUCCUUUCUGCUUUACUCGAAAAUUUGCUCUCUUUUUUUCUUUAAAAGGUAUUCUUUUAUAUAAUUGGGUAAAAGACUCUUAUUCAAGAACUUAUGAAUUGAUUAAACUCUUAACCAUAAUCUGAGUAGAUCUUUCUAUUUUCCUUCCAAAAAAGAUGAAUAGAAUUUUCCAUAUCAGAAGGCCUUCAUUCAGAGGAUAAUUUUGGCAUUAUUAUGUCGCUUGAUUGUAUUCUUUAGAUAUUAAAUGUUGCUGAGGAUUAUUUCCCCCCUUCUUCCCUACCACUGGUAGGUUCUGGUACACUUUCAUGCCUGACUUGAGUAACUCCUUUAGAACAUUAGGUGCGGCUUCGCUGUUUCCUUUGUUAUUUUUAUUAUCUUAAAUUCCUGGUGAUGUUUUAGUGGGAGUUAGAUCUGGAUUCUUUCUGCAAAGCUUGUUUCUAAAUUCACCAUUUUCUGUGUAGAAUCUGGAUAAUUUGAUGCGUGAUAUGUGUAUUGCUACACGAUUUCUUUAGAAUUUCUUUCGGAUCUGUAAAUUGAUAUGAAAAUCGAUUGUUAGUUUUGUCCUGUUUCAAUUUAGUGAUAUUCUGUGAGCUGAGGGAUUUGUUCUUCUGUCAGAUUUCAGUUUUUAAUUUAAGUAAGAAGAGUUUCUUUCUUGUAAUUUCUUUGGUAGUCAAAGGAAACUUCUUGCUUUUACUUUUACGGAUGAAAGAAUCAUAUUGUCUCCUUUUCAUUACAUAUGAUUGUAUAUGGUAUAUUUUGAGGGAUAGUGCAAACUAUUAUGAUUGUGUUUGCUUUAUAGAUUUAUAGUUUGUUCAGAGCCUUCUGCUUUUUGCAUGAGAAGUUCCUUUUUGACGAAACUGUGCAUAUGAUCAACAAGGAUAUUUUACUUUGUUUAUUAGUUUAUUUAGUCCCCGAUCUAAAGGUUGUGAUACGCUCAUCGAUCAUUAUGUUGGAAGAUGUUAAUUCAUCCACCUCUGAGAUGAGUCUAAUUAAAUAAAAUCUCUGAACAAGACUUCUAUUUGAUAUUCUUUCUUAGCUAUUUCCAUGGGCAUAUGAAGAGAAUUCUCUGCAUGAGAGUCAACACAGACUUUGCACAGCAUAACUGAAGUCCAUAAUAGAGUGGUAUAUCAUGAAAAGCAAUUAAGAGUCCAGGUUUAAAAUUGCAAUCUAUAUUUCGAGGCCUAUUACGGUAGUUUUUAUUCUUGAACCAUUCAUUUAAGAAAAAGUGGUCAAUGGAUUUCACUUUUUAUACUAUUUACUUUAUAAUUUUUGGAUAUGAAAAUGUGGGAAGAAUCAGCUUUAGGUGAUAAAGGAAAUGGACCGUUAUAUUUUGUGAAGAAAGAUGGGCAAGCUGCCUCGGUCUUGGGUCCAAUAGUUGGAACACCUUUCCUUAGCACAUGCACUAAGGGGAGGUCCCUGGUUCAAACCCAGGUUUGUUUUCCACCUACUCUGUGUGUGUGUGUGUGUGUGUGUGUGUGAGAGAGAGAGAGAGAGAGAGAGAGAGAUAGAAUUUUACAAUAGAAUAGUAACUAAUUUCUNNNNNNNNNNNNNNNNNNNNUGUGUGUGUGUGUGUGUGUGUGUGUGUGAGAGAGAGAGAGAGAGAGAGAGAGAGAUGAAUUUUUACCAAUGAAUAGUAUAAAUUUCUAGUUUUACCAUUUAAUGUAUGUGGUUUUGUGUCUACAAAUAUUGUCCUUGCAUGUCUGUAUGUGUACUCAUUCUUUCUGCAUAUGAUCUGUCUUAAUAUAAUUGUAGGGUGAUGGGUUACUUAUGUACCAGUUGAUCAUUUCCCUGAAGAUGCCUUUAAUCAGCAUAACUAUACGAGACUUCAGAAUAUUAGAUAUUUGAGAUCACCUAAUAUACAAUUAUCAAUGCGUCACUCUAUAAUACAUUUUAGCGACAUAACCCACUUCAAACUUGUAAGGAUCAUAUCUGUAAACUUUGAAUAAUUUUUCUUUGUAUAGAGGUUGCAGAUGUUUUGACAGAGAAAAGCACGGGGGGUUCGACUGAGAGAGGUAACUAUUUGAGAAAUGUUAAAUUGAAUUUCUAGUUUAUUUGUUGUGUAUUAUAUACAUAAAAAAGAACAGGAAAUACAUCUAAUUUGGCACUUUCAGAUGCUCAACUUGCAAGGGUUGAAACAGAGAAGAGAAUGUCUUUAAUAAGGGCAUGGGAGGAAAAUGAAAAGGCUAAAGCUGAAAAUAAGUAAGUUAUUAAUAUUUUACCUUUCAAGUGGUUAUAAAAUAUUCUCCAUUGACUUGUUCAGCAUCGAACAACAGAUGCCUCUUUCAUUGGAAAUCUAGAUAACCAAAAGGUGUAACAUAUAUGCGAUGCUUCUUGUAAGUCUUUAUAAAAUAGCUAUACUAUAGCUUCAUUAACUUCUUACGAAUUAAAUCAAUAGAUAAAAGGCUACACUAUAGCUACACUUUAGCCUUUCCAAAUAGCAUUAUGAAAUAUUGACAAAGUUGCUAUUAGCAGGAAUGCAGAAUGUCUUGGUUAUGAUUUAUGCCAGUUUGUCAUAUUAGGUUAGCUACUGUGCUAUGCUGGUUUUGGAUGAAAUUGAGAGUAAGCAUCCCAUUCCAAAAAGUUAACAGGCUGGCCAGGCCAGACCUUGACCUCCAACUAAAAUAGUUCCAUCCUGUUUUAAAAAUGCUCUGUACUCUUUUCUCUCCCCCACUAAAUGCUAGUGAGUCCCACCUCUCUCCACCAACCCAUCCCAUUCCUUACUACAGUUGCCCUUCCUGUAAGUUAGUCCUCUCUGUUGUGUCAGGGACAACGUCUACUGCCAGCUUCAAGGAGAUGCAGUGCUUGAUGAUAUUUGAAAAUGACAUACUGCAGAUUAUUUUCAGAAAAGAAGGGUAUGCCAUGGGCCAAUGACAUGAACAUAGGUUUAGUUUUGUUGGUUGAUAUGGAAGAGUUUGAUUAGGGUGUUCCAUGCUUCUAGCAUGCUUUGCAACUAAUGGAAAAAACUGUAAAGACCAAUGAUGUUAAUUCAGAUAGUUUGGCAGUAUAUGGAAUGAGUAUCACAAAAAAGAGCUUGUUAACUUCUGUGUGUUCAAACUAGGAACUAGUGUGUAUGCAACAUUCAGGAAAAUGUAAACCAAUUGUGGAUGAAUUGGUGGAGAACUUUUGUGGAAGACCAGUGGAAAACUAUCAGUUUUUUUACUACUGUACUGCUUUUUGCUAAGCAAGUCUGUAAGAGCAUAGAAAGCAUGGCCUGCCGUACCAGUCCGUACCGGUCAGUACGGGCCGGUAUGUACCGGUCCGGCCUGGGACCGGUAUGGGAUCAACGUGAAUUAGCGUUGGAUCAGCGUGGAAUUCGAAAUCGGCACGGGACCGGUACGAGACCGGUAUAGGACCGGUACCAUACCGGUCCGGGCCACCAUCGGUACGCCAAUCGGUACCGGUACGGCGGAUCUUGAUAGAAAGGGUUAUGAUAUUUAAAAGUUAUCCACUUUCUCUACACUACAGAGUCGGUACAGACCUUUUGGAGAAAGAAAAGAAUUAACAUAUCCAUCAGAUUGGCUUGGGACAAUCAUUGUUUGCACAGCAAGAAAAAUUUAUGAAGAAACAACAAAUCGGCUUAGUCAUUUACUAUACAAACUUUGCGUAUUUUCAAAGAUCCAGCUUGCCUUGGCAAUUCUAAGAUUCAGCAAGCUCAUUCUAAGUUGUGGGCUUCAAUAUUAGUGAUCCUUCCUUAGGUAGUUUAUUCUUGCUUUGCCAUUUUCUCUUUUUUUUUCCAUUCCUUCUAUCUUCUCUUGUAAAUACUUUUUCUUCAAUAAAUUGGGUGGUUUUCAUUUCUCCCCUAUAAAAAAAAAAGGUAUAGUAACAAGAAGUUAAAGAUUCCUCACUGGGAGCAGGACUUAGAAGAUCAGUCUUGAAACAACUAUAGAGGAGGGACAACCUCAUGCCACCUUGAUGAACAAGGAUGUGAAAAUGUUUGUGCUGGUGGAUGAGGCCCUUAUAAAUUAGUGAAUAAAGAUUCAUAAAGCCAAUCCGGUUAUGGAAACUUGUAUAGUUAAUUAGGCUAAAGAAUUUUUUCUCAAAAAACCUCUACUUAUAUAAUGGGAAAGCCUGGACUCCAUCACACUUGUUAGACUCUGGGCCUUCCCGCUAAGAGUGCACAGCAUGCUGGACUCUUGGAUUUUCCAAGUGCCAUGGCUGCGAGUUCAGUGCAUACUAGGUUUCACAAGCCUCUCAAGCAGUUUGUUAAGCAAGAACCAGGAGAGGAGUUCAAGAUGAAGCCAUCAAUAGCACAAGGAGAAAAAAAUAUACUUACAUAUGAAAAAAAAAGAAAAUGUGCAUAUUUCUACUUGUUCCCGAGAGAGAUCCUAGCACUUGCUGCAUGCUAAUAGUGAUAAAAGAAAAUGAUCUUCUGGUGUUUAAUUUGUCUCGGAGCACAGGGAUAAAAAGUAUCAUACAAUAGAAGCCAGUUAUGGGAAUCUGUCUAGCCUAGUUAAUUAUGCUAAGGAUUUUUUCCUUAAAAAAUAGGGCUAAAAAAGUUAUCUUGUGCUGUUUAACAUGUUUCCAAGCACAGUGAUCAAUAAGUAUCAUACAAUAGGUUAGACAAUGUUAAGUAAUGAUUGAGAACCAUGCUUAGAGCCACUACAUGUAGAAUUAUCUUAGAUAUUUCGUCAGAUUUCUGGCUAAAAUUCACGAAGCACAUUAAAUUACAUCUCUUCUAUCACAUAUAAUGUGACAAAUGGUUAGAAACUGAUAUUUGCAGAACUGAAUUUCUUUAUUUGCUAAUCCAUAUGCCAUGAAAUUGAGAUAAUAUUUGUGGUUCGCCCACCAAGAUUCAUUCUUUCUUCAGUUAAUUGUCCAACACCUAGCUUUCCAACUGUCUCAAGACUAGGUUGAUGAAAAUUUUGUCAAGUUUGUAUGAUACUGGUGCAGGGUUUUUCUAGAACAGUGCAUUACCUCUUCAUAUUGGUGGAUGAUUGUGGAAACAUCAAUUGUUGCCUUUACUAUUGAUCGUUAUUCAAAAUAUAUAUCAGGUUGGAAGUUAUAAUCUGGCUUCCUGACAAUGUCAAACAGGGCUGCUAAAAAGAUGUCGUCUAUUACUGCAUGGGAGAACUCAACUAAGGCAGCUAUGGAAGCUGAGCUGAAAGCAAAAGAGGUAACUGAUUUCUCAUUCAGUCUGUCCUACAAGAAAACUUUCAAGCCUUUGUAUUUCCAGUCCACCCAACUUAUAAAUAGUCGUAGUCACCAGAGAAAUUAACUGUGGCAGAAAAAACAACAAAACAGAUCAGCCAAAUAAAUUGACCCCAAGAAGGCAUUAAUUUUAGAAGUGAUGCCAAGUAGUUGAAUCAAUAUUUGUUUCUUUCUUGUUAAAAGAAAGCAUUAGUUGUAUUUCCAAAUCAUCUCUUAAUAUUUACUCCAUUUUGAAGAUGGAGUGGAUGAGAAACGAGAAACCCAGAGAACUGGAAACAAAGGAAUAAUACUGGGUGUUCUAACGUGUUUGUGGACAGUAUCAGAAACGGAUUUAAGUCAAAUAGAGUAAAGUCAAAAUGGCAGCUUUGCCAAAACAAGGUUGACACUUGGUUUAGAGAAAAAUCUUCAGCAUUUUGCAAGUGUUACUUCUAUACUGCUGAUCAGGAUAUGAUGUACCGUACCGAACCGAACAGUACUGGGCGUACCAAUUCAAUACCGAUACCAGUACAGGUGGCGUACUGACCCUCGGUACGCCAAAAAAAAAUUCGUACUGUACCAUAUCGAUGCUAUGCUAGUGUGGCACUGGUACGGAGUUCGGUACCGGUACGGCGAGCCUUACUUCAAAUCAUUCUUUUUUUUAGAAAGAAUACUUUAGAUCACUCUCCGAAAAAUGGCUGAUUAUUUUUGCUUGGAAAAUCUAUUAAAUGCCUUCAAAAAAUGUAAUUUUUAUGCAUCAAACGUUUCACAGGAAAAAGCUUGAAUCUCUGCAUGCCUAAAAUUAUCAUGCUUUUAAGUAGGAAUCCUUAUCAUUCAAUCUUGAAGCCAUUCCUAAGUCUCAAAAUGCAUGGGCCAAGCUGAAUACAUGGCUUCGGAUUUCUAUUUGGUUGUUCUGGUUCUCAAGGUCCCAUUGGUGUGCUCAAAAUUUAAGGGCAUCUUUUUUCAUGUUAACUUGGAGGGACAUGCCUCACUAUGACCUCGAAUGUAGACCAUGACUAAAUGGAAUUAUGAUUGCACCUCGUGUCCAUUCGUCCUUUGACUCAUGUUAUUGCUCAUCCAGUGUCGACUAAAUUCUGGUCUUAAACAUGAAUGUGAUAUUGGUGGACCUAGGUCUUGCUCCAAAAAUAUUGGACCUAGAUGCUUCAUUACUAUCAAAGAUUUUAAAUUGUCAUCAAGAAAUGACAUCCGAUGAAGAAGCCAAAAAAAAAAACUUGCUCCAGCGUGGUUUCUAGUAUGUUUCUUCCUAUGGUAAGAAAACAUAAUGGAUCUAAGAACUUAAAUUGGUCUGCAGCAUCUGCAUGGUGAUGUAACUUGUAUUACCUACUGCUGUAGAGAGCUUGCAUCCAAUACUUCUUUAAUAUGUGAACAGGAAGCAUUAGAAAAAAAGAAGGCAGAAUAUGCAGAAAAAAUGAAAAACAAGGUGGCCAUGCUUCACAAAGUAGCAGAAGAGAAGAAAGCUUUUGUUGAGGCCAAGCGGGGUGAGGAGAUCUUGAAGGCAGAGGAAAUGGCUGCAAAAUACCGUGCCACAGGGCUUGCUCCGAAGAAGCUCCUCGGGUGCUUUGGGGCCUAAGAUCUGACUAGAAAAGAGGGCAUUGAUGGUACAUUCUCUACUUUGUUUGUGGGUUAUGUUUUGAUUUAGUUAAAGCUUUAAUGGGAAAUCCCAGUUUGUCUGGUGUGUAAAGUGUCAUGUACUUGUAUAUAGUUGUAAUUUUACAAGAACAAAGAUUUGGUGUUGUACAAUUGUAUUCUUUUAGUUUGUGGGAAAAGAAGCAAAAAAAAAAAAACAAUUUGUGUGUAUUUAUACAACAUCAAAUUAUUUGCUAGCAUCGAAGCCCUUUAAUGUUCUUCCAGAAGGAAGUUGAAGCCCUUAGAUGUUCAUAUUGGAUAUAUUUAUACAAUAUGCAUUGAGAUGUACUGCGGACUGAUGAAGUAAAAAGAUGGCAAUUGGCAGAAAAACUGCUAUAGAAGUAGCAAGGAAGCAAGAUAAUCCGAUAGUUUUCAGUAGUUCUG